This 813-nucleotide long non-coding RNA is filed under the name Lathyrus oleraceus (garden pea). RNAcentral's name for it is "Pisum sativum (pea) long non-coding RNA (PSAT_LNC034402)". The record is from RNAcentral. Lineage: Eukaryota; Viridiplantae; Streptophyta; Magnoliopsida; Fabales; Fabaceae.
ACGUUUUAUUUAGAAAAAGAUUUGAAUAUUGAAGUGUGGAAGAAAGGCUUUGUAUUUGAAGGUGAUGAGGAAAUGGAAUUGAAUGUUGAAUGUGAUUAUUUACAUGUGUAUAAGUAUGGACAUGGGUACUAAUAACCUAACUAAAUUAGUUAACACACAAAAAUCGACUAAUCAAAUAAAAAGCAAUAUCAGAAAUUCAACCACUGACUAAAUCUAACAAGUAAACAUUUAAAAAUACAAACCACUAAAUAACGAUCGAAUUAAAUUAAUAAAAAUAUAAAAGUAAAAUAAAUAGCAAGAUACUAUAUAAAAAAGAAAUUAAAUAAAAUAGUAAGCAUAACAAAUAAAAACAUGAAGAUUUGCAAACCCACUCCACUAAAGGCAAUGAAACUGCUCUCUCUCCACUAGACCACUUAUGGUCAUUUGCUAUCUUAAUACUAAUUUGAAUAAGUAAACCAUAAUAGAUUAAAAUUAAAAUUAAAAAUAAAAUUAAACUAAAAUAGUCUGUUGGACUACCAAUUAACAGUGGAAGAAUCCAAGAAAAUAAACCCUAGCCGCCUGGCUGUUGGGUUUCCAAAGAGAAAUUAAUGGGUGCACUAAACAACAUACCAACAAUUAAAUUAAUGCCAAGGGAUACCAAAGGUAAGUGGUCUUUAAUCAUAUUUUAAACACUAUUUUCUUAAGAAAUAAAUAAAAGAAAUUGAAACAGAGCCACGUGAAACACGCAACAUCCACUCGCCUUCUCCAUGUUUACUCUCUCUUCACCACCUCUCGUAUUCGCUCCAUCUCCCUUGCUCUCUCAAUCGCUCGUUC